RNAcentral lists this microRNA (17 nucleotides) under Macrophomina phaseolina MS6. The record is from RNAcentral. Lineage: Eukaryota; Fungi; Ascomycota; Dothideomycetes; Botryosphaeriales; Botryosphaeriaceae.
UGCUCGUGUUGUGAAUC